AAAGGAAUAGACGGGGACCCGCACAAGCAGUGGAGUAUGUGGUUUAAUUCGAUGCAACGCGAAGAACCUUACCAAGGCUUGACAUCCUACUAACGAAGUAGAAAUACAUUAGGUGCCCGCAAGGGAAAGUAGAGACAGGUGGUGCAUGGUUGUCGUCAGCUCGUGUCGUGAGAUGUUGGGUUAAGUCCCGCAACGAGCGCAACCCCUGUGGUUAGUUGCUACGCAAGAGCACUCUAGCCAGACUGCCGUUGACAAAACGGAGGAAGGUGGGGAUGACGUCAAAUCAUCAUGCCCCUUAUUGUCUUGGGCUACACACGUACUACAAUGGCGAUAAACAGAGAGCAGCGAACCUGCGAAGGUAAGCGAAUCCCAAAAAGUCGCCCCAGUUCAGAUUGCAGGCUGAAAUUCGCCUGCAUGAAGCCGGAAUUGCUAGUAAUCGCAGAUCAGAAUGCUGCGGUGAAUACGUUCCCGGGUCUUGUACACACCGCCCGU
Molecule: ribosomal RNA, 492 nt
Filed under: uncultured bacterium
Lineage: Bacteria
Description: bacterial SSU rRNA
Rfam family: Bacterial small subunit ribosomal RNA
Source: RNAcentral